GAACCUGCUAAUGGAGCAUUAGCUGAUGAACAAGGCAGCCUUACACUCGCU
RNAcentral lists this ribosomal RNA (51 nucleotides) under Phragmotaenium fulvescens. RNAcentral's name for it is "partial 18S ribosomal RNA". Lineage: Eukaryota; Fungi; Basidiomycota; Exobasidiomycetes; Georgefischeriales; Tilletiariaceae. The record is from RNAcentral.